GGUAUUUUGACCGUGCUAAGGUAGCAUAAUCAAUUGUUUUUUAAUUGAAAACUAGUAUGAACGGUUUAAUUUACUUAAUUAGUUUGUAAUUUUUAAUAGUAAGUUAAAUAUAAAGUAAGAAUUCUUUAAUAAAUUAGGGGACGAUAAGACCCUAAAAGCUUUAUGAUCGGCAUUUAAUUGGUGAUAGCGGUGUUAUUAAUUCACUGGGGCAGUGAGUUUAGGUAUAUUUAAGUAUAAUUAAAAGCUCCUUUAAAUAAAGAUUUCAUGUAUAAGUUACUUUAGGGAUAACAGUGCAAUAUAUU
Molecule: ribosomal RNA, 302 nt
Filed under: Dikerogammarus haemobaphes
Lineage: Eukaryota; Metazoa; Arthropoda; Malacostraca; Amphipoda; Gammaridae
Description: partial 16S ribosomal RNA
Source: RNAcentral